UACGAAGGGGGCUAGCGUUGUUCGGAAUCACUGGGCGUAAAGGGCGCGUAGGCGGGCUGACAAGUCUGGGGUGAAAUGCCGCGGCUCAACCGUGGAACUGCCUUAGAUACUGUCGGCCUCGAGGGAGGUAGGGGCAUGCGGAACUGUGGGUGGAGCGGUGAAAUGCGUUGAUAUCCUCAGGAACUCCGGUGGCGAAAGCGGCGUGCUGGACCUCUUCUGACGCUGAGGCGCGAAAGCUAGGGGAGCAAACGGG
RNAcentral lists this ribosomal RNA (253 nucleotides) under uncultured bacterium. RNAcentral describes it as "partial 16S ribosomal RNA". It matches the Rfam family "Bacterial small subunit ribosomal RNA", at positions 524 to 776 of the family's 1533-position model. The record is from RNAcentral.